AAAUGCAGCUGAAAGAAGAACUUGCAUAUAAAAAGGAAGCGCGAAGAAACGGUAGAGUUGCGACAUUUCUGGACACAACAAAAUUAAAUAAUUGUGGUUCGUGAAUGAAAUCAUUUCAUCUCUCCUUCUGACAAGAUGGGGGAGUCUUGUGUGACUUUGCUUCCAUGUGGUUGAAGGUCGUGACUAGCAUAACAUCCUGCUUUGUCGGAUGGAUUCGAAAAGAGACAAUGGAAAAACAGUACACGACUGUUUAGCAGAUGAUGAGCCAGACAGUCAAGGAGGAAAGGACUGAGAAACUGCCGUUACACUGCUGUUUUCUAUUGCUUCUUGUGUGAGGUUUGUGUUUUUAAGGCUCCGUGCGUGAGCAAGGUCAAAUUGUUCAGACCAUUUUUAUUUCGUUUUUCUCCCUUCCAUGUAUUGACAAUGUGACUGAUGUCUUUAUAAAACAUGCAACAAUGAAUUGUUAA
Argiope bruennichi is the source of this 467-nucleotide long non-coding RNA. RefSeq lists it as uncharacterized. The transcript has 2 exons. The record is from RefSeq and is a predicted model, not a curated record. NCBI's taxonomy places the organism in Eukaryota, Metazoa, Arthropoda, Arachnida, Araneae, Araneidae.